This 5096-nucleotide long non-coding RNA is filed under the name Sus scrofa (pig). RNAcentral's name for it is "lncRNA (ENSSSCG00000061403.1)". The record is from RNAcentral. Lineage: Eukaryota; Metazoa; Chordata; Mammalia; Artiodactyla; Suidae.
CACACCUAAUAACACCUGUAGGAACGCCAUGAUAAGAGUGUUGAACUUGAAUCCUAAGAUCUAGGUUAAAUGCCAGCUCUAUUACAUAUCAACUGGUUGACUCACUUAAGCCUUCUGGGCUGAAGUUGCUGUAAAGCAAAGAGGCCAGGCUGGUCACUGAGACUCCUUCCAGCCCUUACUCUCUAAUUCUGUGACUUGUAAAUCUGCAUUUCUUUAUUUAAUUCAAAUCUUGCUUACUUGAAAAGGAAAUUUUUUUUUCUAAAUCAGUAUGAUUUUCUACCCAUCGUUUCUGGUGCGUGCAUGAUCAUACGAUGCCUUGGAUUUUUUCACUCAGGCAAAAUGGCUUCAUCAAGUGAAAUCGCUUAGCAAACUUUUUUUUUUUCUAACUUCAUUCUAAAGUAAUACAGAUAAGCCUUGUGGCAGAUUCCAUUCCUCUAGUUACGUGACCUGCUUAGAAAAGACCUCUUUAUCACUCUCACCGAACUAUUAGUAAUAUUUCAAACUAUCAUGAUGUCCAAACAUUGUGAUUAACUAGAAGCAAGCAGUAAUCAAGAAGCAUGGUUUAGAAACCAUGGUUUUGCUCAUAGGUGGAUUCUUUCUGACACUUGAUUUUUCUUUUAUUGUGUUAAUAUUUUACUUGCACUUGAAUGAAGUAUUUGCCUUGUAUGUCACAAAUGUUGUAAUUUGAUCCUCGUAUUCUGAAAAUUGCCUUUUUGCUUAAUUCCAGCCUAUGGAUAAUGUGACACUGUGGUACAAGCUGUUUUCCUCCUCUUUCUCUUCCUCCUCCUCCUUCUCUUCUUCCUAAUCCCCUCCUCCUCCCUCUUUGCCCUCCUUUUCCACCUUCUUUUUCCUUCUUUCAUCCUUCUUUCCUUCUCCAAUAAAAUUGAACUUGAUGCUCCCUAUAAUUGAUGCUUGUUACUCAAUUGGAAAAAAUGAAAAUACUUUGAGGAAUUGUGGGGAUUUUUGGGUAGGAAACUCGAAGUGAUUUUGUUCCAACGAGAUAUUUAUAGUUUUCACUUUCACUGGGGGAGGAAAACAUUAUGAAAUUAAGUGAUUUGAAGAUUAUACUGAAAAGACAGUUUAUUACUUUCUGCAUCUGUUUAACAGAUUGCACCGAUUAAUGUCUUUGAAUCAUGUGGUAUGUAGUGAACACAACAUGAGGAGUGUGUUUAAGCCUGUGUUAAAGGUUUAUAAACAAGGUGGUGCCAUGUGCUUUGGCAAAUCUGUGUGGACGUUGGCUUCUAUGAUACUGUUGCAAUGGAUUUACUGCUCUGUUUGAUAACAGACAGGCUGGCAGCCAAUCAGUGGCAAGACCCUACUAGUCACAGGCAGAGGAUACAGUUUCCUUUAAAGUAAGUAAAUGAUGCUAAACUUACCUGUAUAUGACUCUUCAGUGUGGGGGUGCCCCCGGGUGGGGUUACACAUUUUCUGGCCCUGAAGGCUCAUAAGAUUUUUCAACUGCUUGUGAUACUGUCUCAUGGGGGUGGGAAUAUUGUCAGAUUUUUUUUUUUUUUUUUUUUUUUUAAUGGGAGGAUUUAGGAUGUCUCUUUCCAAUUGCUCUGGAGACUAGGUAUAUGCAUGGCUACUCCUUAUGUGUAACUGGUAACAAUCCUAGGAUCAUUUGUGAAUGUGCUGUAAGAUUGGGUGAGUUGAAGUUCAGUUUCUGAGGUAUAGCCUCCCCUGGACAGUCCAGGUCACACACCCUCCCAAGGUCUCUUCUUGUCUACCCUCUAUGACAGAUUUACAAAAAGUGUGAUUAUUUUUGCAAAUAAUUAAGGUUUGCAAAUGAAACUACCUAAGAAGCUGGAAUGUUUUUAAUUUUAUAUGUCACCUUGGCUAAGCCAUGAUACCCAGAUAUUUGGUUAAAUAGUAUUCGAAAUAUUUCUGUGAAGUUUUUUUAAGAUGAGAUUAACAUUUACAUUAGUAGAUUUUUAGUAAAACAGAUUACCCUCCAGAAUGUGAGUGGUUUUCAUCCAGUCAGUUAAAGGCUUUAAUUAAAAAAAAAAGAAACCUAUGUGGAAGAGGAGGGAAAUCUGCCAGUGGACAGGCUUUGGCCUUGAGCUGCAGCUCUUCCCUGAGUCUCCAGUCUGCUGGCCUGGCCAGCAGAUUUUGAAGUUGCCCAGCCUUUCCAGUAGUGUGAGCCAAUUCCUGAAAACAGAUCUCUCUCUCUCUAGCUGUAGACGUCGUGGGGGUCCUGUUUCUCUGGAGAAUUCUGACUCAUGCAGAUGCCUUAAUCAUAGGAGCACAUUUUGGCAUUCUUCAAUGGAAGUAGAUAAAAUCUUCCAUUUGCAGUCCUGCAUUACAUUUUCUAAUAAAAACGUAAUUUAGAACAUAAGGGUUUGGGGCAGCUUUUUGUAGAGAAUAGAAGAGUGCAUGGGAAGUCUUCAAUGAUCAUAACCAUCUGUGAAUGAAUAUUGAAUGCAAAGGCUACAAUUAGUCUGGGGUGAUAGUCCCUGCACCCCGCCCCAGCAGUGUACAGGGUAUAAGAACCAUUCAUCUAAUCCUCUAAAGAGAGGGCAUAUGGCUUGCUGAGUUAUGGUGAUGAUUAAGUAAAAAGCUUCUUAAAACAUUGACUUUGGAACAUCACUCUUUUUUGCAUAUUUCAGUAGCAUUUUUUAUUUCCCACAUACUCCUUUUGUUUAUUGCUUGGAUGUGGGGGAAAAGCACCCUUCUCAUUUAAGAAGACUUACUGGAAAGAUCAAUUUCCAUGUCGUUGCCUGAAAUUUAGCAACAUUCUAGCCGGAGUCACAAGAGAGGCUGGGAAGUAAGGUCUUCUGGCUGGGCACACUGACACGCCAAAUAAAAUCGGGUUCAGGUGCCCAGGAGAAAGGGGAAGUGAAUGUUGGAUCAGACACCUAUCAGUCUGCCUAGAGGUGCUUAUCUUUGUUACUGGUAUUUAAAAUCUCAGUCUGUGGAAAAGCAUUUUGUCUGGUUAUUUUCAGUGCUGCUUUAUGAAAUCUGGCAGACCUGACUUCUCAUUGUUUUCAGGGGAACCCUCCCCCAACAUACUCACACUUAAAAUUACUAGAAAAUGUGGGAGCCGGUAGGGAUCUUAGACAUAAUCUGGCACAGUAUCUUCAUUUCGCAGAUGAAACUAAAGCCCAGAGAGGCGAGGGACUUAAGUGGAAGUUAUAAUGCUCAGGAAAGACUUCUUGGGAGCAGGAAGUUGGUUGGCUUAGCCUAUUUCUAUACCCCCCUAAUCCCUGUCAUUUCAAGUUCAAUCAAAGUCAGAAAGCUCUCCAGCCCUUUAGGGCUGCAUUUGUUUGUUUUCAUAAAACUAAACUGUAUAAAUACCUGCCAUUUGGGAGUCAGCAAGCCCAAGGAAAAGGUUGCAAAUUUCUUGCAGUACCACUCACACUAUUUAUUUUUAGCAGCAAAAGGAUCAUUCUCAUUCUUAGCAUCUUGAAAUAAUAAGAGCCCACAUCUAUUGAGAAUUAGUUUGUAAGCUUCAUGGAAGUAGGGAUCAAGUUUGAUUUUCCGCAUCACUGUAUCCGUAGUGCCUAGCCCAGUCUUUCAUGUGCAUUCUAUAAAACAACAAAUAAAUAGCUGUUGGAUGAGAGGAUGUAGUGUUUACGAGGUGGCAGACACUGUGUUAAGCACUUUUCAUGAGUUAUCUCAUUCCAUCUUCAUAACUAUCCCAUGAGCUAGGUAAUCUCUGGAACUUAAAUUUGAAAAUGUGCCCAAAGAUACAAACAUAGUGAGUGUUAGGACCUGGACUAGUCUGUCUGACUCCAUCCUGAAUUACCAGGGAGGCUGGAGGUUUCGAGGUUGCCACUGAUUAUCAUCUGAAAUGUAUAAAACUACUCUUAGAUUAAACAUGGGGAAUUUUAAAAUCCUGACUAGCUGACAUGUUAUCUGGCAUUAAAGAUAAGUGGCUUAGUCUUUUAAAAAAUGGAAGUCUAAGAACAGACUGAACUGUUGGGUGAGCUAAAGAUGGUUGGGGACUUUGGGGGGCAUGGGAUGAGGUUGGGUGGAGAAUAGGUAUGCAGUAAAAUUUCUACGCUGUCUUGUUUGAGACUUGAGCCAUAUGUUGUUCAGUUUGAAAAUGCCAUCCUGUGGUGUAUUACUUCUAGAUUGUGGAUGAGAGGCAUUGAAGUCCUACUCUCAGGAUUGAUUCCCACGAUGCUAAAUCUUUUUCAGAGGAAAUGGUGCGUUUGUGUAGGAGCAGAGACCAGUGAGCUACAAGAACUGACUCUGUGUUUUCUAUGCCUCAGGCACUGCUCUUCCACCAUGUUGGACAGAAUUUUUGUAUUUUUGUGUAUAGGUUUUUUUUUUUUUUUUUUUGCCACAGGCCUUUCUAAUGCCAGCAGCCUAUGUUGGGUGGUGAGGUUGUCAUCCUGUUCCCAGACCCCCACAGAGAGGCCUAAGCCAUUGCGUCUGGAACAGAAUCCUUAAAGCAGACCCACAGGACUGACUUAGUCGAGGGCUCAAGUCUUUGAGUGGAUGUGGCCACAUUCCUUUAAAGGUUUUGUUUCUUUCCUCCCUUCAUAUUUCUAGAGCCUGUUUGUUCUCGACUGUGGGUGCACAUUAGAAUCAUCUCAGGUGACCUAACAUCCUAACGCCCAGGUUCUACCCCAAAGGGUCUGAUUUAAUUAGUUUGGAGAGGGGUCCAGACAUUGGCAUUGAUUUUAGAAGCAUUUCAGGUGGUUCUGAUGUGUAGUCGGGGCUGAGAGUGAUUCUUACAGCCUCACAGGGCUCUUGGCCCCAUGACCGUUGGUUUUCAUUGCCUUCCUCCCCAUCCUGCAUUCUGACUCAUGUAGCAUGGGGGCUUCUGCUCAUAUUGGAUGACAUUUAUAAGGACUGUCAAAGACUGUGCAUUUGAUUGGGGUAAGGAGGGCAGGGCAGGGAAGGCUUCCGAGAAAAUCACAGAGUGCAGUUUAUGUAACAAUAGAUAAUUUUUCCUUUAAAUCAAAAAUUAAUGAAUAAACUUAGGGAAAGAAAUAAUAAGAAUCAAACAAAUGUGAACUAGAAACAUUUUAUAGUUUUUCUGGAACCAGUAAAUCUGAACACAGAUUGUCUUCUAACAAGUGGAGAAAUUAGGCUUAAAUGAAUGCUUUUGUAAGAAAAGGCUUUAAUAAAACUGACUCAAGAGGAAU